Molecule: long non-coding RNA, 2065 nt
Filed under: Panax ginseng (ginseng)
Lineage: Eukaryota; Viridiplantae; Streptophyta; Magnoliopsida; Apiales; Araliaceae
Description: long non-coding RNA (PGIN_LNC000332)
Source: RNAcentral
AAUAAUGUAAUGAUUAUUAAUGAGAGAGAGAGCAAGAAUUGGUGGAUAAAGUAAAAGGCCAGAUGGCCGGAUGGUUAUUGAGGAAGAAAAGAAGGCCACAUUGGUGGUUUUGUUUGAGGAGGAGAAAGAAGGAUAAAUGUAGAUAUUUAGAUAUAUCUAUAUUUAAUAAAAGAAGUUUAUCUUUUUUCUUUAUCUCAUUUCUUAUCACAACUAAAAGAAAAAACUAGAGAGAGAGAGAGGAGAGGGAUGGUUGAAGGAAGGAAGGAAGAAGAGAGAAGAGGAGGGAGAAAGUUCAUCCAUGGAAGAAGAAGAAGAAGGAGAGCAUGUGAAUCAAAGGUAUAAAUACCUUUUGCUUAUGUAUUUUUGAUUAUUAUAAAUAAAAACUUGGAUUUAUGUUUCUAAACUCAAAACCAUAAAUAUACAUACUGAUGAGUGUUUUAUGUUUAGAUAUACUCAUAUUGGCUAUUGAAUGGUUAGGAAAUCAAAAGAAAAUUUUUCUAGUUUAUAAACCAUAAAAUUUUUGUGUACUUUGGAUUUCCACCGUUUUUGAUCUACACCUUUUUUUUUGUGAUCCAUCAAAGUGAGGUGCUAUAUAUGUAAGUUAACUAAUAAACUUAAGUGGUAGAACUAAAAAAUGUUGAGUACACAAGCCAUAGUGACUGUUUUAGAAAAAUCAGUUUCGUUGUUAAAACAAAGAAAACAGACUAUUUUGGUCCAGUCAGUGCCAGGGGUAGUUUCAUCAUUUUUUUGGACAUUCAAAAAUUCUAGAAAACGUUGGGAUGAUAAUAUGAUGAGUUUUCUAACAUCUCCAAGUGGAAUCACUGAAAAAGAAGUUGUAGAUUUCCGUAUGGACUAUUUUUAACAAAGUACGAAAAAGUCAUUUUUAAAAAAAAAACUACUAUUCCAAAAAUUGAAAGGGCAGUUUCAGCCAAUUAAUUAAUGAAAUAAAUUCAGGCCUUUUGGGACAUGAAAAUAUAUUAUAUAAAGUAGUUCAUGUCCAAAAAUGAGCUCAUUACGACUUAAAAUGACUAAGUUAUGGUCAUUUCAAUUCUUGGGAUUUUUCAACAAAAACAGCUAUAACUGGAGUUCUAUAACUACGAUGGCCACGAAAUUUAAAUUGAAGGCUCACGUUAACACGUAUAAGAUUGUGUCUAGAGAUGGGAAUUUUUAGAGUUGAGCAUGAUAGGGCUAAUUUCUUAAGCUACGAAAUAAAAAUGAUUUUUGAAAAAUACUAAAGGAAGUUAAAAAAUUAUGAAAAAAUACUUUUUGUGUAUGAAAUAUAUGUAUAUAUGUUUGGACGAAGGAUAGAAAAAUAAUAAGUUGAUUUGGUAUUUUCGUGAAAAGGAUAUUGAAUCCAGCUUGCUGGAUUGAAGGAUUUAUGAAUCCAGGCUUGUUGGAUUGAAGUAUUAUGAAUCCAACUUGUUGUAUUGAAGGAUUGGUGAAUCCAUGCUUGCUGGAUUGGAAAUUAGUUGAAUCCUGUCUGUUGAAUUUAGAAUUCAGUUUGCUGGAUUUGGAAUCCAAUUUGCUGGAUUGCAAUCUGAGUUGUUGGAUUGGUAUGUUUGGAUAAUCCAGGUUACUAGAUUAUUAUUUGACUUAUUACAUUAUUUUUUGAAAAAAAAGAACUUAUAAAAUAAGAUUAAAGUGUUAAAUUAUAAUGUAUAUAAUAUAGUGAUUAAAGAAUUAUCAAAGGACGAUAAUAAUAAUGAUGUUUUAAGGAGUAAUCUAAUAUUUUAUUAUGUAAUAAGUGUUUAAGUUAUAUAACGACUGUAAUUAACAAUAGUGUAUGUGAUGAUAUUAUUCUAUUUGAGUGAUCGAUAUUAUCAAUAAUAGGUCUUUCAACUGAAGCUUAAUUAACUUUGCGUAGCAAUAAUCUACGGUAUAGGCAAGUUUCUGAAUUAUACUCUUGUAUGGAGCAAGUUCAUAUACUUUUAUUGUGUAUGUUUUCCUAACUCAACUUGAGUUAUUAUUUCAAAGCAUGUUAGUGGUUAAUCAUUGUUGAUUAUACCACGUCUAUAAUGUAUUGAUUCACCUUCAUUACCAUAUGUUUUAGUUAAACUUGUUCAUG